Molecule: ribosomal RNA, 441 nt
Filed under: Triticum aestivum (bread wheat)
Lineage: Eukaryota; Viridiplantae; Streptophyta; Magnoliopsida; Poales; Poaceae
Description: partial small subunit ribosomal RNA
Source: RNAcentral
AUGGUGGCCACAAGCCCACAGCUCUCUCUCUCUCCUCAGACCGCCCCUCCUGUUUUUCCCCACCGCCGACGCGAGGUCCCGCACUCUUCCCACUCUUCUCAACCCCUCCUCCUCAAAUCGGUCGCCGAAGUGCCCGAGGAUCCGCUCGAGCUCGGCAUGGUCGCUGGGCGCGGGACGAAGGCCGACGCGAAGGCGCGGGACUCGUCUCCACCAGAUCGGCGGCCGUGGCUGUCAUGCGUCGCAACCUCCGCCCCUGGUUCCUUCCUCUCUAUAUCGCUCGUCGGCGGCUCCCACCACCCUGUGUGUGCGACUGCGCUGCGCCCUGCAAUGCCCAGGCACGACAGCAGUACCCCGGUGUCUGGUCCCCUGCAAGUGCAAGCCGGCGCCGGUAGACGAUCUAUUCCCCUCUUCGGCUUUCAUAUAUGCUUAUUUCUGAUUUGA